GAUGAACGCUGGCGGCGUGCCUAAUACAUGCAAGUCGAGCGAACGGACGCGAAGCUUGCUUCUCUGAUGUUAGCGGCGGAGGGGUGAGUAACACGUGGAUAACCUACCUAUAAGACUGGGAUAACUUCGGGAAACCGGAGCAAAUACCGGAGAAUAUUUUGAACCGCAUGGUUCAAAAGUGAAAGACGGUCUUGGUGUAACUUAUAGAUGGAUCCGCGCUGCAUUAGCUAGUUGGUAAGGUAAAGGCUUACCAAGGCAACGAUGCAUAGCCGACCUGAGAGGGGGAUCGGCCACACUGGAACUGAGCCACGGUCCAUGCUCCUACGGGAGGCAGCAGUAGGGAAUCUUCCGCAAUGGGCGGAAGCCUGACGGAGCAACGCCGCGUGAGUUAUGAAGGUCUUCGGAUCGUAAAACUCUGUUAUUAGGGAAGAACAUAUGUGUAAGUAACUGUGCACAUCUUGACGGUACCUAAUCAGAAAGCCACGGCUAACUACGUG
RNAcentral lists this ribosomal RNA (497 nucleotides) under uncultured bacterium. RNAcentral's name for it is "partial 16S ribosomal RNA". It matches the Rfam family "Bacterial small subunit ribosomal RNA", at positions 28 to 507 of the family's 1533-position model. The record is from RNAcentral.